This 1369-nucleotide ribosomal RNA is filed under the name Priestia aryabhattai. Its description in RNAcentral is "partial 23S ribosomal RNA". It matches the Rfam family "Bacterial large subunit ribosomal RNA", at positions 524 to 1889 of the family's 2925-position model. The record is from RNAcentral. Lineage: Bacteria; Bacillati; Bacillota; Bacilli; Caryophanales; Bacillaceae.
CCCCGGAAGGGGAGUGAAAGAGAUCCUGAAACCGUGUGCCUACAAGUAGUCAGAGCCCGUUAACGGGUGAUGGCGUGCCUUUUGUAGAAUGAACCGGCGAGUUACGAUCCCAUGCAAGGUUAAGCUGAUAAGGCGGAGCCGUAGCGAAAGCGAGUCUGAAUAGGGCGUUUAGUAUGUGGUUGUAGACCCGAAACCAGGUGAUCUACCCAUGUCCAGGGUGAAGUUCAGGUAACACUGAAUGGAGGCCCGAACCCACGCACGUUGAAAAGUGCGGGGAUGAGGUGUGGGUAGCGGAGAAAUUCCAAUCGAACCUGGAGAUAGCUGGUUCUCUCCGAAAUAGCUUUAGGGCUAGCCUCAUGUUGUAAGAGUCUUGGAGGUAGAGCACUGAUUGGACUAGGGGCCCCCAACGGGUUACCGAAUUCAGUCAAACUCCGAAUGCCAAAGACUUAUCCAUGGGAGUCAGACUGCGAGUGAUAAGAUCCGUAGUCAAAAGGGAAACAGCCCAGACCACCAGCUAAGGUCCCCAAGUAUACGUUAAGUGGAAAAGGAUGUGGAGUUGCUUAGACAACCAGGAUGUUGGCUUAGAAGCAGCCACCAUUUAAAGAGUGCGUAAUAGCUCACUGGUCGAGUGACUCUGCGCCGAAAAUGUACCGGGGCUAAACGUAUCACCGAAGCUGUGGAUUGACAUCUUUGAUGUCAGUGGUAGGAGAGCGUUCUAAGUGCAGUGAAGUCAGACCGUAAGGACUGGUGGAGCGCUUAGAAGUGAGAAUGCCGGUAUGAGUAGCGAAAGACAAGUGAGAAUCUUGUCCACCGAAUGCCUAAGGUUUCCUGAGGAAGGCUCGUCCGCUCAGGGUUAGUCGGGACCUAAGCCGAGGCUGAAAAGCGUAGGCGAUGGCCAACAGGUUGAUAUUCCUGUACCACCUCCCCGCCGUUUGAGUAAUGGGGGGACGCAGUAGGAUAGGGUAAGCGCGCUGCUGGAUAUGCGCGUUCAAGCAGUUAGGCUGAUGAGUAGGCAAAUCCGCUCAUCAUGAAGGCUGAGCUGUGAUGACGAGGGAAUUAUAGUACCGAAGUUCCUGAUUCCACACUGCCAAGAAAAGCCUCUAGCGAGGCGGGAGGUGCCCGUACCGCAAACCGACACAGGUAGGCGAGGAGAGAAUCCUAAGGUGAUCGAGAGAACUCUCGUUAAGGAACUCGGCAAAAUGACCCCGUAACUUCGGGAGAAGGGGUGCUCUGGUAGGGUGUAUAGCCCGAGAGAGCCGCAGUGAAUAGGCCCAGGCGACUGUUUAGCAAAAACACAGGUCUCUGCGAAGCCGCAAGGCGAAGUAUAGGGGCUGACGCCUGCCCGGUGCUGGAAGGUUAAGAGGAGGGG